CUACGGGGGGCAGCAGUGGGGAAUAUUGGACAAUGGGGGAGACCCUGAUCCAGCAAUGCCGCGUGUGUGAAGAAGGCCUGCGGGUUGUAAAGCACUUUCGGUUGGGAGGACUGCUUCUAGCACUAAUAUUGUUGGAAGUUGACGUUACCUUCAGAAGAAGCACCGGCUAACUCCGUGCCAGCAGCCGCGGUAAUAUGGAGGGUGCAAGCGUUAAUCGGAAUUACUGGGCGUAAAGCGCGCGUAGGCGGCUAGAUCAGUCGGGUGUGAAAGCCCCGGGCUUAACCUGGGAACUGCAUCCGAUACUGUCUAGCUUGAGUACAGGAGAGGAGAGUGGAAUUCCACAUGUAGCGGUGAAAUGCGUAGAUAUGUGGAGGAACACCAAUGGCGAAGGCAGCUCUCUGGCCUGAUACUGACGCUGAGGUGCGAAAGCGUGGGGAGCAAACAGGAUUAGAUACCCGAGUAGUC
Molecule: ribosomal RNA, 465 nt
Filed under: uncultured bacterium
Lineage: Bacteria
Description: partial 16S ribosomal RNA
Rfam family: Bacterial small subunit ribosomal RNA
Source: RNAcentral